GAGACUGGGGGGGAGGAGCAGAGGGAGAAGAGUCAAGAUUUCAUAGCUGAUUUCAGAGUCCUGCUUGAGCAUCAGUUGUAUUUAAGAAAAUAUAAUUUGCAUGAUCAAGAAAUCUAUCUUAUAUAUGGAAAGCAUGGAUGUUUAUGGGAUAACAGCAGCACUUUGGAUUACUUAAGAAUCAGAAGGCCUAUUUCUCAAGAUAAACGUAUCUUCAGAAAAUAAAACAAAUCAUGUUGAAGACUUUGGUAACAUUAGCUGUGCCAAACUUUUGCCCUUGUGUUCUUUUAAAAGCAAAGAUCUGCCUUCCGGAAGGUUCUGAAAUACAACUGUCAGUGUUUAGAGGAUACUAAAACAUAUUUAGUAUCUGAGCUUCUACUGACUCUGUGCCCUUUCCUCCAGUGAAAUUGUAGGCAGUUGAUAAAGUAUUCCCAGGACGCAGGACACCACUGUUCUCCUUCUAGAUCUUUGACUGGCUGAAUAAUCUUAAACACGCUGCUUAAUUUCUCUGCAUGCAUGUUUUCUUACCUGUAGAUCCUAAAUAAUUCCACUUUCCUCACAAAAUGCUGAGUAGUCUAACAAAAUAAUGUCAGUAAAGCCUAUUUAGUUCUUUAGAGAAAAGUUGUAGAUAAAUACAAGGUGUUCUUUAACGCUGUGGAUUCAUCUCUCAUAAAAGGAAUGAUUAUUAGGUACCUAAAAUUAAGUCACAUUUUAAUGAUGUGGCAUAACCAACAAGCUGCCUUGUGCUUAUUAACCCCCCCCCACUUAUCCACAGAUUUAAAACAUAACAUAUUUAUCCUUCCAUUCCAAAGGCAACACAUGCUUUUCCAUAGAUACAUAAGAAAUUAUAUUCAGUUAAACACACCAUAAUCACUCAUAGAUGACUUCUUACAUUGCAAUACAAUCUGGGAAGAUUCUUGUCCAAGUUUUCCUUUUAAACAGUGAACGUAAAAUAAUCAACAACAGUCCCAUUUAUUACAGCAUUUUUAAUGUAUGUCACUGUGAUUCAUUUUUUCCAUAGCUCAAAAGACCUGAGUGAUUAUCAUAAAUAAGCAUUUUCUUUCUGGGAGGUCUAUUAUUUUGAAUCAUCCUUGAGAAGCUCUUUCAAAUAUAUGUUUGCAGGAGAUGGGAAUGCUCUCACUUCUGAAGUUGUUAGACAGACCAUAAUAGGCAUGUAUUUGCAUUCCCAAACUACCUUAUCCAAGCUAUACGAAACUUCAAACCCUUGGAGGCCUACUAGCACCUGGGAUGUCUUCAGUUGAGGGAAGAGUUCUGUGAGGAUUCUGGUCCUCAGGGCUAUGAGGGAAGCGAUGAACAGCUGGCAGGAACAAAUGGGCACAGCUGGACAUCAGAAGAAGGAAAAGAACUAAAACAAACCUGAGCUUUAGAAGUGAGUCAUGCAAAACAGACAAACAAACAAACAAACAACAACAACAGGGAAUUUGGACAAGAGCAUGGGACAGCCUUUUCCUUUUAGCAUCCAGAAGGGUCACACAGCAAGUCAACUGGAAGCACAGACAAAAUAAAAUAAAACAAAACAAAACAAGACUUCCUGACUGUGGAGGAGAAGGAAAGGAAAAGUAAAGAAGAGAACAGCACAAUAAAUUAAGGUUCAGGAGCCUGAGAAUCUGGGCUUCCAUCCUGCUGUCUCCUAAAAUCAAUCUCUGAUGGGUUAAAAUGAUCAAAACUCCACUUCUUCUUGGGGGAUUCCAGGGAAGAGAUGCCUAGCAGAUUCCAGGUAUAUUCCUCUUUUGGAGCUUGACUCUUCAGAGAAACUCCAUCUUGAGCAUGGAACACAAGCUGUAAAGUAGAAAUGACUAGAAAACAGCAUGCAAGACUGCUGCAAGCUCUGAGCUCAGAGCUGGCACUCUGGUCAGGCUAAGGAGAGAACAGAAUGAGCACAGAGGUGGUCAUGAACAGAGGAGGCCAUUUCAGUCACCCAUGCAAUGAGCUAGGUGCCACAAAACCAAAGACUGGCAAUGAUCGCACCUCUCAUCAGAAAUCAAGGUGGGUGGGUGCUGAUAACUUUGGACCAAUGGUUCUCAAAGGUGAUUGUACAUCAGAAUCACCUGGAGCCCUUGUUAGAACACAGAUUCUUGGGCUCCUCAUCCAGAGUUUCUGAUUUAGUAAGUCUGUGUGGAACCAGGCCCAAAUACUGACAUUUCAAACAAGUUCUCGGGUGGCACUGAUAUUGUUGGUGGAGGACCUCGCUUUGAAUAGUGUUAUUCUAAAUCAAUCUCUUCCCUCUAAACCUAAAAUGGUAUAUCGUCCUUCCCCAACACAUACCUUCAGAUUAUCGAUGGCCCCUGGAAAGACUUGAAAGAGAAGGAGAAGGGGACACAUUGUGAUACUCUGAGAAAUUACUGAAAAGAGUUUCUAACUGGAAGUAUUAAGUAAUCACUGAUUUGAGGGAGUAAGCCUCAAUUUCCACAUAAAAUUCACCACUAUCAGCAGAAAUUGGGGCUAAAUUCAGUUCAGUUGUGGAGGAAUAAAGAAAUUUACUAGCUGUACACCUAAGUUUUGUUCCUAUGAAAACUUGAGCCCAGUCUGUUAGCAUUUAGUACAACUUGGUACUGAGAUAUAAAUACAAAUUUAGGACUCCUGGAGAGGAAACAUUCAGAAAGGAUGCUUUGGUCUUUUGUUACAAUGAACCUUUGUUACACACCAUUUCACUUUUUCACUUGCAUUACACUUACAUUAUAAGACGUUUCCACAAGCCUAGUAGCACCAUUCUGCUCCUCAUACCCUGGGCCUCCUCAGAGAACAGAGAAAAUAGGAGCUAUGUCUGAGUGGACAGCCCUUCUGAGAGCUAUGAGGAGACAGAACAUCUGUGUGCCUGGGAACACUGCUCCCACAGACAUAGUUCUCCAUCUGGGCCCCCCGCACGAACGGACUUAGUGUCCCAUUCAUGACUUGCUCCGGGUCCUCACACACCCAUGGCAAAUAACAACGUUCAGUCUCCUGUGGAGUGGGAUCCUCUCCUCUCAAGGGUCCAGCCUAAAAUGGAAGAGCCCGUCAGAUGGCAUUUAUACUUUGGCAGCUGGUAGGGCUUCUCUCUUCAGUUGCACACUGGUCUAACCUGAAAUUGGACUGUGCACCUUUGUUUUUGCAUUUUCCUUUGCAGACAAAAGCUAGGUCAGUAAUUUAUAACUCUCACCAAGCUGAAUGCACAUUUAUGAGGUUUAACAGAAAUGAAUCUAUUACAUGCUGCCUGAUAUCCCUGUGUCCUUCAGCCUCUGGAAGUCAAUCUUUCCUUCGAUACUCUCAUAUACAAUGAUGUGAGCCUCCAUCCCAAGUAACUGAUGGAGAAUCAAUGUAACUCUUGCCCAGUAUUUCUAAGGAUUCUUCAAAGCAUACAGGGUACAUAUGCUUAUAUGCAUGAUGCUGUCUACACCACCUACUCUGAACUCUGACUCUUGUUUGUUUGUUUGUUUUAAUCUACAGUUGCUUUAUCUGUAUACCUAGCAAUCUUCACUCCUCAUACUUAAUCCCAGGCAUAGGCAAAACAUCAUGUAGACAUUUCUAAAAUCUCCUUUAAUCCAUCCAUUUAUUUUAUUUUUUUUUUAAACUGAGUAGCUACUAUGUCCCAGGUGAUGUUCUAGUCCUUGGAUACAGCACUAAAAAAACCCAGAUAGGUGUACUGUUGUACAUUUCUAUGUGAUAUGGAGAUUUUUCCCAAAUGUGGGAAGCUAAUGAAUGAUGGUGGGAACAGGGAGCAGUAACAACUAACUCCUGCAUACCAAUAUCAGAGAUCACGAUUUCUGAUCCACAGGGACUCCCUUCACGGAAUCCAGUUUUCCUUUGGGGACAGCCUUGUGCUUUCCUUGUGUUGGACUCAUGCUCUCACUCUCUACAGAUGUCUCUGUCUCUGUCUGUCAUCUCUUUUCUUCAAGUUCAGGAGCUUCUCUAAAACUCUUCUGUCUUGAGCUACCAAAAGAAAAAGGAAACAUUGAUUUUUAGAAGUCAGAACAAAUCAUUUAGCUUACUAUGUCUCAUUUUAGUAUCCUUUCAUAACCAAAAGUCCCAGGACAGUAUUUGCUCAAACAAACAAACAAACAAACUAACUAACUAAAAAAAAAGUCUUUUGGACAGGAUUCAUAAGAAGUUAAAUGAAGUUUACAUAGACCAUUUGUCCAUCCCAGAAAACGCAAUCCACCACUAUCAAGGUAGUAGAUUGACAAAAUGUCUAAAAUGAUCAAGUCUUGGGGAUUCAAUUAUGACAGAAGGGCUGAUGGCUGACCUAUUCCUGAGAUGAAGUGAAGAUAAACUGCUGUCCUACUAAGAAAAACCAAAUCUCUUUGCUAUCCUUUUUUCCUUAAUAGUAACUGAUAAAGCAUUUGCCUGAUCAAUAGCUAGAUAGCAGAUCUCAGUGAUGUGUUCAUUUAUUCCAAAAAAGAGAUCACAAAAAACAGCUGCAAUUGAUGUUACUCCCUGAAUAUGUUUAUAAUAAUACACUAUCUUUCUCUAGGGCCAUCUAGUGAAGCCCUGGUCAAAUAGACCAGUUACAUGUAGAUGUGACAGGAAUCCUAUGCCUGCCUACUUCUAGACUUGGUUGGGUGGCAUGAAUCUGUGCCAUCCUUCAAUUUACUUUACAGUUUGGAAGGGAAGAGAUAGUUUCAGGGACUGAUAAUAAUCCCGUAAGUCAAAGAACUAAUGUGGGUCUUCUGGCAUUGGCAAUUGCCUGCUAUGCUUUCAAAAAAUGAAGAAAUUAUCUCAUUUUAUAUAACAUAUAGUUACUAUGCUUGGUAACAAUGGACCCCUUCGAGGAAUUUCUAGGAGGGUUCAGGGUUUAUGAUUUUGAUACAGACAUGGGCUACUCUUCAUCCCCAAGGGUUCUGCAUAUGGAAAUUGGGUGACAGUCCCCAAGUCUUUAUUGUGCCCCAAAUCUGAAAAUGAUACCUAAAAUAUUUUAAAUUGUAAAAAUCAAGUAGGUAGCAGGGAGUAGUUCUGUUUCAGUCCAGUGAACACUAUGAUCUAUUUGCCUCCACCAAUGAUUUCUAGAGCUUAAGUCAUUCUGAUUACUGUUUUAACCUGUUGCCCACUUGGGGAAUCAUGCACACUUGUGUCUGGUCUUCUAGCUAAGAACAAGCACUUGUCCUCUGUCAUUUUCCAGGAUCCUCUUAUCCUCCACUGAAUUUAGGAAGAUUAUUUCAGUUAAGUUACUUCUUACAAUCAUGUUUGGCCUUACAGGGUGUUUCUUUGUGCUUUGGCAAAGGAAUGUCCUUGGAGCCCAUCCAGGUAACAUGAUGAUGAGAUGAGUGACAGGUCACACUAGAUAAAUCAGCACUAGCAUUUCUAUUUCUAUCUUUCUUUGUGUACCUUUAUCUAUAUCAUACCCUGGAAACUCUUGCAUUUCAAUUUCAUUUAGCCUUGGCCAUCAUGAAGCCCAAAUUUCAGUCUACUGACCAAGUAAUCUGGUGAACCACAAUUGUGCACUCAAAUAUCAAACAUCUUUAAUUCACUAUUUCUAGGAAAGUACGAUCAUGUGGUUAAAUUAGCUUAUUCUAACAACUUGUUUCUGUCUGUCUGUACUAGGACCCUCAGAAUCCAUUCAUAACACUCUUUCCCAGAUUUCCAUUCAUAUAAACCAGAAAAUCUUCCAGUUCUUUUGAUGGAUAUGCUAUCUUCUCUGAAGUCACACUCUGUACCCAUUUGUCUGUGAUUUGAGUGUAGUUAUAGGUCUGGAAGCUGUGCAAGCUGAUGAGGCAUAUCUCGUGGUGGAUCAGCAUCUCCAAGCAAGGUAAUUGCCUCAAGUAUAACCCUUAUGGUUUCUUCAGCCGGGAGAGACUCCUUCUACUUUCAAGAAGGUUCAGUGGAAUUUGAAGGUUCAAACCUGUAAGAAUCCAUCUCAAAUCCCCUUUCCCAGUAAGUGUCCUAACUCUCAUAUAUGAUACCAAGUAAGGCUGUAAAUUCAAUGUGCUUUAUAAUUCUGAAAUAUGCAUCUUAAGACUUUGAGUUCAGUUUUCAAAUACUUCUGCCAUAUAAUUGACUGUAAGAAUAGGAGAAAUUUUUGGAAGCUCUUUUGUUUUCUGAAUAUGCCAUGGCCUGAGCUUUUAAAUUUCUCUUUGUAAAGAGAAGUAGUGCAUCAGAAGCUGUUAGGCUACCCCACAGUCCCUGUGGUCAUCAUUUAUAACCCAUUGUUUUAUUAUAGCAGCUUCUUUGUAUCCCAAUUCCUUGUCUUUAAGAGCCACCUCAUUUUAGACAACUAUAGUGAGAAGUUAAUGAUUAUGUUAAAAUCUUUGAACGUUAUGGACCAUGACAUUGAGGUUAUUUUAUCUUCAAACUCAGCUAGGCACAAGCUAUUCCACAUCUUCUUCAUCUUUAGAGUCUAUUUUUUUAAGACACUUUCAGGAUCAAAUAUUUUCUCAGAAACUUCUACCUGGACAAGAGCAACUUCUUGAACUAUUUUAGACAAGGAAGGAUGUAGUACGGAGCAUUAGAAGCUUUCUUAAUUGCUAGAAUGCCUGGAGAAGCAAAGAUCAUGGAAGAUCUCUGUUAACUCUCAGCUUCACCCCUACCUUAAAGAGAGGCAGGGAAUUUGAAAAGGCAUGAAAGAUUACUAGAAAUUAUACAAGUUUUCUAUAAUGCCAAAGGAGGUGUUUCUCUAGAAAACACCUGGAGGUCACUGAAAAAACUCAAAUCCAUAAGAGACCAUGUUUCUGCCCACCCUGAUGUAGGAGCAAUUAUAUGAAUUCUGCUCUCUCUCCUGCACCUUUCACGUCUUGCAUGAAUGCCUCCCAUUGGCAAAAUACAACCUGGAAUCCAAAUGGUAAGAGAUUCUGAGAAAUGCAAUGGUCAGGCUUUCAGUCACUGAGAAUGGGGGAAUGGUCUGGGGAAACCAUGCUGGGUUGCAUAAAGAGCAGAGACAGCAUAAUCAGCCUUUCUAACAUAGUCUAUGAAUCUAAUUUUUUAGAUGACUUUGUAUAAGAAGGAACAAAGGAAGAUAUUUAUGUAUUUCCAUCUUUACCUAUAUGCCACACAGUCGAAGUUUAUUUAAAUGUUCACGGUUCAACUAACACAGGACAAGAGGCAUCAGUGACUACAUGCAUCCAUUCUAGGUUCAUUUUUGCUAAUGUUAUUUUGUGAUUAGAAAGGAAAAUGGAAAGAAUCACAUCUUGGUUGGUUACAGUGACAUAAAAAUAAAAUUAAUGUAUAGCAGACAAUAACAAAAAGCAAGAGCAAUGAAAUACAACUAAAAUCUUUGCAAAGUUUAGUUAUAGCCUUUAAAAAUGAAAAACCACAUAGUAGAAUAAAUAAGGAAUUAAAUAUUUGAAUGAAAACAGACUAAGACUUUAGCAUCCAAAUCAAAACAUUUCUGUUGUUUAUAAUCAGUGAAAUAGAGUAUAUGUUGGCUGACUAUAACAUGAAAGUGAAUCAGUCAAAGUCUUCCAUGGCUCCAUAGUCCCUUCUUCCAUCCUUAGGAGACAUAAAAGUGAAAUAUUGUAUUAGUAACAAAAUUAAAUCACUUAAUGAGAGUUCUCACAAUUACCAGAAUUUGUAAUAUGGAUGGUUGUUUUGAUAGUUUAUAACCUUCAAGUCUGUAUGAUAUCAUCUAACAUACUGCCUGGAACAAGUAAACACCAAAUAAAUAUUUGCUGAAUUAAUGAAAAAGAAUGUGGAUGGUACAUUUUAAAGAUUAUACCAAAAAAUGGUAAAUAGGCUUACUAAUUUUUGUUUUUUAAGAUUUUUAUUUAUUUGACAGAGAGAAAGAGAGAGCACAAGUAGGCGGAGCAGCAG
Mustela erminea (ermine) is the source of this 7734-nucleotide long non-coding RNA. RefSeq lists it as uncharacterized. Lineage: Eukaryota; Metazoa; Chordata; Mammalia; Carnivora; Mustelidae. The record is from RefSeq and is a predicted model, not a curated record. The transcript has 4 exons.